UGGGGAAUAUUGGACAAUGGGCGCAAGCCUGAUCCAGCAAUGCCGCGUGGGUGAAGAAGGUCUUCGGAUCGUAAAGCCCUUUCGGCGGGGACGAUGAUGACGGUACCCGCAGAAGAAGCCCCGGCUAACUUCGUGCCAGCAGCCGCGGUAAUACGAAGGGGGCUAGCGUUGCUCGGAAUUACUGGGCGUAAAGGGCGCGUAGGCGGCCUUGUUAGUCAGGCGUGAAAUUCCUGGGCUCAACCUGGGGGCUGCGCUUGAUACGGCAGGGCUUGAGGAUGGAAGAGGCUCGUGGAAUUCCCAGUGUAGAGGUGAAAUUCGUAGAUAUUGGGAAGAACACCGGUGGCGAAGGCGGCGAGCUGGUCCAUUACUGACGCUGAGGCGCGACAGCGUGGGGAGCAAACAGGAUUAGAUACCCUGGUAGUCCACGCCGUAAAACGAUGUGCGCUGGAUGUUGGGGCCCCUAGGGCCUCAGUGUCGUAGCCAACGCGGUAAGCGCACCGCCUGGGGAGUACGGCCGC
RNAcentral lists this ribosomal RNA (518 nucleotides) under uncultured bacterium. RNAcentral's name for it is "bacterial SSU rRNA". It matches the Rfam family "Bacterial small subunit ribosomal RNA", at positions 355 to 889 of the family's 1533-position model. The record is from RNAcentral.